Molecule: RNA transcript, 2934 nt
Organism: Varanus komodoensis (Komodo dragon)
Lineage: Eukaryota; Metazoa; Chordata; Lepidosauria; Squamata; Varanidae
Gene name: RNA-binding protein 4-like
Exons: 4
Source: RefSeq, a predicted model, not a curated record
AUGGCGCAGUCCUAGAUAGCUUCAGCCUCGCCGAAGCCCAGGAGAGAGGUUGAGGCAAGGGGGGCACCGACCGCGCAGCACAGAGGAGACGCCGCCAGGAGCCGGCCGGUGAUCCCUGGCAGGGCCCGCAGCGCCACCAUGGUGAAGAUCUUCGUCGGGGGACUGUCCCCCGUGGUCACGGCGGAGGAGCUGCGGAAGCUCUUCCAGCAGUACGGACAGGUCAACGAGUGCGACAUCCUGAAGAACUUCGCCUUCGUGCACAUGGAGAAGGAGGACGAGGCCCACCAGGCCAUCAGCGCCCUGCACAAGAGCGAGUUCUACGGGGCCCACCUGACGGUGGAGUACGCCACCUCCAAGAUCCGCAACGCCACCAAGAUCUACGUGGGCAACGUCUCGGCCAAGGCCACCACGUCCCAGGUCCGGCAGCUCUUCGAGCGCUUCGGCAAGGUGGUGGAGUGCGACAUCGUGAAGAACUACGCCUUCGUGCACAUGGCCAAGGAGCGGGAGGCCAUGGACGCCAUCCUGAACCUGAACGACACGCCGCUGGAGGACCAGAAGAUCUUCGUCACCCUCUCCAAGAGCAACAGCUCCCUCCGGGCGGCCAAGGGGGCCGCCUUGGCCCCCGCGGCCCCCGCCACGCCCAGCUACUACUUCUCCCGGGGACGGAUCCCUACCCCGGCGCCCGCCUACACCCCCUACUGUCCCCGGGCCUGGUACGACAGGGAGUACUGCGACCACUACUCCUACGAGCUGUACGACCGGGCCCGCGCGGCGUACGACCGGGCCCUGCCCGCCCCGACUGCCGCGGCCGCCUACCGGGAAAGAAGCCCCGUGGGCCGGCGGACGGCGGCCCCCGCCACCGUCAUGGCCCAGUACACUGACCCUUACGCGGCCGCGGCGGCCGCGGCGGCCACGGCGGCCGCCAACCAGACCUACAGCCAAGCCUACAGCCAGCCCGGAUACGCGGCCGCGGCCGCCGCGGCCGCCACGUACUCGCAGUACAACCUCGGCACGGCCUACAACGUGGCCGAAUACUACGAGCGGUACGCCAGCACCUACACCGCGCAGUACGCCCAGACGUUCUGAGGGACCGGCACCCGCCCCCAAUUUCUUUGCAGGCUCCCGGGCAGCACCGGCUGGUGUCUCUGAAGCUCUUUGCAGAGCACUGACCUGCACUGGUAUUGUACUCCAGCCUCCUGCCCAGCUGUUUCGGGAAGGAGCGAGGGGAUCGGGGCAUGGUCCACACGCGGGCGGAGCUGACCCGAAGGAACGCUACCUCCCGUCCUGCCCUGCGGCCAUCCGACGCGACUCGGGAGCCUCACCGGGCCACCCUCCGAGCGACCAUCCAGCUGCUCCCUGCUUCCCUCUUCGCUCUGCUCCUAGAGUAGGCGCUGGAAAGAGAGGUGUGGUGGGGGGGUGGCCGGCCGGCGGAGGGGCCCCUGGCGCAGCAACGGGGUCCCGCGAGGAUGCCGUGUUGGGACCUGGCUUCUCUGCCCGCCCUGCUCCGCAGCCCUCCGUGGGCCGCACGGUCUCUGGGGCAAGCGCCCCCCAACAUUGCUGCUUGGGCAGGAGGGCCUCCCCACCGUGGGCACUGGCUCCCGUGCCCCACGCUUUCUUCCACUGGGGAGAAGACACGGGGGCAGGUGAAGAGCGUGCCUCCGCCGCCCUUGCUAGCCCGCGGCUACGGAUCCCAAGGAGCUGCCUCCCUCGCCCCCAGGCCACGGAGUGGGAUGAGGCGGGGCGAGGGGAGGGUCCUGUGCGGGACACAAGCCUCCGCGGGCUGGACUGGGCCCACGAGCUCCAAGCGGCUCGCCUCUGAAGCAGGAGGCACUGCGGGAAGUGGGGACCAAUGGUUUCUGCUCCUGGGCGGGAACAGCAAAUGAGGAUGAUUGUUGAUCUGCUGGGGCCGAGAGGUUACGGGCCGGCAGGCCUGCCUCGCGGUGGGAGGAGGGCUGGGCUGGCAGCCCGCAGCUGCAGCGCACAGGGAACGCACGGAACCGAGCCGCAUGUUGCAUGCAGACGAGCCCGUUCGCUGGGGCAUGCGUUUCGUGGGGACUGGGCCUCAGCCGCAGACUGGGCUCCUGUGGGCAUCCUUCGGAAGAAGCCCAAAAGUCGUGCAGAUGGGCGCGCUGGGCGUUGCAGGAGCUCGCUUCUGUCUGGGGCGCGCACGCCUGCCCCCAAAGGAGCCCCAGGAAUCUCUCUCCUUGCAAGCAGCUCAGUUCAGCUGAGCUUCCCCGGCCCGCGGCCUUCCAGCGGCAUGGGCUGCGACUCCCAGUGUUCCUGCGCACUGGUCCGGAGGCAGGAUGGGGAAGGCAGGCCCAGGGAGUCCGGGGCUAGGGAUUCCCCCUCCAAAGAGGGGGCUGGGGGCUGAUCCAGGGCAGGCGCGGGCAGCCUUGCGGGCCACGGACGCAUCCAGCCGGUUUGAGAAGCGGUCCCGCACAUCCCUGCCAAACGGCAGUGCGGAGCAGCCCAGGUCAGCGGCUCGCAGGACUGGCAGGGGCGGCCCUGAGCCCCCAGAUGCAGCGGCGGCAGAAGCCAGUCCCGCAGCGACUCCAGCUCUGGGCAGGGAAGUGUCUGGAUUAAAAAGAGGAAGGGGGUCAAGGCACGUCGGAAAGGUACCCAGCGGGUGCCGGAGCCCCGUCCGCACGGCCUCCCCGGGCAUGGCAGAGGCGCAGGGAGCCGUCACGGGCACUCACAGAUCUUGGCCGCAUCCUCUAGCGGGGGGAGGCUUUCGGUGAAGCGUAAUUUAAUUGGUGUUUGUCAGAGCCCCUUUCUCCCACGGGGAACCCCACGCGGCUCACCACAUCCGCCUUCUCCCUGUUACGUCCUCACAACAACCCAGAGAGGCAGGCUAGGCAGAGAGCCGGAGAGCGUCAUGGCUGGCUGGGGACCGGAGUCCGGCCGCCCCAAAUCCCAGUCCAGCGUUCUAACCAC